CUAUAGCGCCACCCCUUGUCCACAGGGCCGCUUCAGGAUCAGCCUCUCAGGAACAGGUUUUAAAGUGGCUAAAGACGCCUUGUGGAUCUCCCAGGGUAACUUCGCUGUAGCCGAUGUACAAAAAUCACAGGAUGGUAGCAGAGUGUUGGGAAAGUGCGGAGGCUACUGUGGAAAAUGUACACCGGCAGGCUCCCGUCUGCCAGUGACAGUGGAAUAGAUCCAACUCCUUUAAACAGGUGCUCAUCAUGUCAGUACAUCCCCUCUUUUUGGUGCUACAGCCGACCUAGAGCUCAGACCUGUCCUUCACUUCUUUUUCACUCUAAUGUGUGUAAAUUGUAAAUUAAUGAUGUGUAAGUACUGUACAUAGCAGCAUAAAAAUGUCUUAUUUAUUGUAAUCUCCAUAUAUUUUUAUAUCAUAAUAUAAUUCCAGGGUUUUGUUGUCAAUAUCAAACACCACACCAGUGCCAUUUAUCAGAAUUUUGCCAGAAUGUGCCUUCCACUUUGAAUAUUAGCCACUAGCACUGUUGUUAUAGCACAGUGCGUGUGUUACAGCCAUAUGAUCCUUGUUGUCUUUACUUCAAUAAUGUUGUUGUAGGUUACAAAAACCAAACCAGAAAGAUUAUUCUGCCAGACAUCAGAGAGAAGGAGCUUAGUCUGUACAUCCCUCAGGUAGUGUGCAACGACCAGAGAGGGCCAUUAGCCUUUUAGCUUUUACAGAGCAGACAGGUUAUCUUAUCUGAAGCGACUUAAAAGAAGUCAGGGGGAAAAAAGACUCCACCUUAGGCCAGAUGCUACCUAUAAACCACUGGCCUCCAAUGUCACACAUUCUUCUCUCCAGCUUUGUUUUUAAGAGCCUGUGCACACUGUAUAUACUGAUAUGCUCCUGUUGUGCGCAUUCUGACUUGUUUUUGUAACAAUAUCAGGGUACUUUUUGUAUAUGUAUGGCUUUGUGUGUCUUUAACAAGUGAUAUACAGUUUUUUUUUUGAAGACACAUGAAGAAUUGAGAAAUAAGUCAUGAAGAUGCAAGAAGAAAUGGGUCUUUACAUUCUUUAAGACUUAAGUGUGUAAAGUAGGUAUGUAGGGUACAUAGUGUAUGCACACAUUGUUAAGAAGCCAUAUUUGCUUUUAUAAGAAAUUUAGUAUGGUGCUAUUUCAAUGUCUUAUAUGAUGCUGUGCACACUUCAGCCAAAGGGAAUUUUACAGUCUUCUGCCGCUAUACAAAUAUGAAAUGGGGGAGUAAGCAUUUUGUGCAUUUCUGACAAAUGCUCUUCUCUGUGUGAAUGUCAAAAUAUAGUGUAGUUCAGUCAACAGAGUUCUCAGGUGUCAAACAGUAAAUGAAGGGAUUACUAUGAUAUUUAAUUUGUAUGUAUCUUGUUUUACACAUUUGCCCCGUGUUUACCAGGUAAGUGGACAUGUAUUAUUGAAGUUUAACAAUGUAAAGUGUCUUUAUAUGCACCUCAUUUUAAAUGUAAAUAUUUAUUUUACCUUUUCUUUAUGUGAAUGUACAUAGGCUUUGUCCACAAAUGACUAUGAAUUACCAUAUAGUAUCAACACAAAACUAGAAGGGGCAUUUCCUGAAGAAAAUGCAUGUGAAUGCUGACUGUUGAAUAAAUUACGCUAGCACUGCUAAAGAUGGCUGAAAUUUAUUACUGAAGCAGCUGAAGAUUGAGAUGCAAAGCUAAAUGAUCCUAUAAUAUGAAAAGAAAAGCUGAAGUUGGGAGCUUCGUUAUCUAAACAUGCUGAGAACUGAAAAGCAUCGCUGGAAGGUUUAAUACCAAACUGAG
Molecule: long non-coding RNA, 1785 nt
Organism: Monopterus albus (swamp eel)
Lineage: Eukaryota; Metazoa; Chordata; Actinopteri; Synbranchiformes; Synbranchidae
Exons: 4
Source: RefSeq, a predicted model, not a curated record